GAAGUAAAAGUCGUAACAAGGUUUCCGUAGGUGAACCUGCGGAAGGAUCAUUACCGAAUUGUCAACACGAGUUGUUGCUGGUCCUCAAAACGGGGGCAUGUGCACGCUCUGUUUACACAUCCACUCACACCUGUGCACCCUCUGUAGUUCUGUGGCAUGGGGGACUCUGUCCUCCUGUUGUGGUCCUACGUCUUUACACACACUCUGUAAUAAAGUCUCAUGGAAUGCAUGACGCGUUUAACGCAAUACAAUACAACUUUCAGCAACGGAUCUCUUGGCUCUCGCAUCGAUGAAGAACGCAGCGAAAUGCGAUAAGUAAUGUGAAUUGCAGAAUUCAGUGAAUCAUCGAAUCUUUGAACGCACCUUGCGCCCUUUGGCUAUUCCGAAGGGCAUGCCUGUUUGAGUAUCAUGAACACCUCAACUCUCAUGGUUUGCCGUGAUGAGCUUGGACUUUGGAGGUCUUGCCGGCCUGCGGUCGGCUCCUCUCAAAUGGAUCAGCUUGCCAGUGUUUGGUGGCAUCAUGGGUGUGAUAACUAUCUACGCCUGUGGUUUUCCACCGGAUAACCUUCAGUGAUGGAGGUACGCUGGAGCUCAUAAAUGUCUCUCCUCAGUGAAGACAGCUUUUUGAACGUUUGAUCUCAAAUCAGGUAGGACUACCCGCU
This 662-nucleotide ribosomal RNA is filed under the name uncultured Tomentella. Its description in RNAcentral is "eukaryotic LSU rRNA". The stretch from base 255 to 409 matches the Rfam family "5.8S ribosomal RNA". Lineage: Eukaryota; Fungi; Basidiomycota; Agaricomycetes; Thelephorales; Thelephoraceae. The record is from RNAcentral.